GUCCACGCCAUAAACGAUGAACACUAGGUGUAGGUGGUCUUAAAACUGUCUGUACCGUAGCUAACGCGAUAAGUGUUCCGCCUGGGGAGUACGACCGCAAGGUUAAAACUCAAAGGAAUUGACGGGGGCCCGCACAAGCAGCGGAGCGUGUGGUUUAAUUCGAUGCAACGCGAAAACCUUACCUGGGUUUGACGUGGCGGUAGUAGUGAAGCGAAAGCGGAACGACCCUUCGGGGAGCCGUCACAGGUGCUGCAUGGCUGUCGU
Molecule: ribosomal RNA, 264 nt
Filed under: uncultured bacterium
Lineage: Bacteria
Description: partial 16S ribosomal RNA
Rfam family: Bacterial small subunit ribosomal RNA
Source: RNAcentral